RNAcentral lists this long non-coding RNA (2534 nucleotides) under Canis lupus familiaris (dog). RNAcentral describes it as "lncRNA (ENSCAFG00845020505.1)". Lineage: Eukaryota; Metazoa; Chordata; Mammalia; Carnivora; Canidae. The record is from RNAcentral.
UGGCAGUGGUGAGGUGGAGAGUUCAAAAUGUGUGACCAAUAAUCAUUGAAAUUCUUCCUUGAAUUAGUAAGAAGUCUUCAGAAGCAAGCCAUAAGUUUCCAUCCUCUCUCCCCUCCUUCCUUCCACAAACAUUGAACCAACUUGCAUGUGAGUAGGGGUUGGGCUGGGAGGUACCAAAAGCCCACAAAUGAGUGAAGCAUAGCCUUGUUCCCAGAGGACUUUAGAGGGAAAGACGUGCAGAGGAUGUCAACGUCAGACAACACAAAAAGAACAAUUCAGAGAAGGGACAGUUGGAAUCCAGAAGAGAGGUGUCAAGUUUUCGAAGGACAAAAAAAAAAAAAGGCUUAUCUUCUUUUGAGGAGUCUGAAGAAAUGUUUACUAUCAAGGAUAGAGCAGCAAGAUCUUGGAUGGAUGCUGGGGAACGGAUGGUGCUUAGGCUUGGCUCCCUUUCCAGGAGUCCCUCUCUAUAUGUUCUGUAUUUAAUAUACAUAAAGACAUUUCUGGAUCUUCUCGUAUGAUAAAGAGGACAUGAUGAGGAGAAACUUGAAAGACGGUUGCAAAGCCACUAUCACACUGAAGACAAGCAGAUGAGUUUCUCAAGAAGCAGCUGGUGCAUGAGUAUGGGAAGAGCCGGUUUGAGGGAUGGAAGAGGAAAGUUUGACCUGACCCAAAGAAGGUCCUAUGAACAGUGAGGUCAGGGGAGGUUUCCUGUUGGACUGCACACAGGAGUAUGAUCUGGAAAAAGCCAACAAAAUAACCUCUGUUCUCUGACUGAAGCAAGAACUCUAAUCCCUACCCAGAUAAGAGCUAGGAAUAAAAUGUCUGUGCUAAGAGAGGCUUGAACGGGGGAGCUAUCUACCACAGCUGAACAAGGUCAAGUAUCCAUCUGUAACUUGAAGAGGCCAGAAUGGAGUUCCUGUUCAGGGCACCUCCCCACACAAGUGAAGCUUGAGGAAGACAGAAACUUUCUUCUUGUAAUCCCAGUACUUAGCACUGAGUAAGCUAUUCAAUAUAGCUGAACAAGCAUGGCCUGUAGGGAAUACAGCUUGAUGUUUCACUACUGAGACACCAAUCCUCCCCCAACUUUUCCGGGGUAUUCUUAAUUUCUGAUUCAUGGCCAACCAGUGGGCCAUGACAAGAAAAUGUACUUGCUCUACGGAUGUGAAGAACUGUGGAGUGUUAUCAUCAAUGAGAUGGACACACAGGGUCUCAAGAGAUGACAUGUGAGAAGACCAGGAAUCUCUUGUGCAUGUGCACACACACACAAGACACACACAAUCUCUCAGCUCCUCUUUUAGGACAUAGUUUCAUUUGGGGUUUUUUGUCUUGUUUUGUUUUGUAGCUUGGCGACAUCUGGCAGCAUUCAGUCUCUCUCGUUCAAACUAAUGCAUAAAAAACUAAGGUGACCUGGUGUUACUAAAUCGUCACCAGCUGUGUCUAGCUUUAAAAAUCUGUUAUUAAUACCAGAGCUGGAUGUUACAUAUUAGCCAAACACUGCUUAUUAAUCAUUCACAGGUAUGUGGUGGUGGUAGAGUUAAGCUUCCAAAGACAAUGCCCUGGCAGCUAAGGAUUUAUGGGUUUUCCUAAAGAGAACAACAAUAGGAUGGGAGAAGGACCAGUAGGACCCCAACCCUGAAUAUGAACCUUCGCCUAAUCCACUGUUCUGUUUAAAUUGCUCUUUAAGCUGCUUAGAGAAAAGGAGUGGCACUACCUGUGAGGAUGGGAAGCAGUUACUGUCGGAAGAAAUCCAGAACCUCCAAAAGUGAGGCUAGGGCAGUUCUCCCAUUUUCUCCUUCAGCUGAGUGCCAACAGCUUGUGGGUGCUCAUCUGCAGAGUCUCUCUCCUGUCCCCGGAGCUCAGCAGUUUUAGGAUUCAGCUCUCUGGAGGUGUCCUCUCUAAUCCUAUAGAGUGUGGUGCCCCGGUGAGCCCUUCUGCCAAAGGGCAUAGGAGCAAAACUGCAGGCCAGCAAACCCUGGUCCCCUCCCCUUCUUUCCCUCCCCCAUUCCAGAGUGUGAUGGCAGAGACUAAGGCCAGGGUCCCUCAUGGUCCUGUUACCACUAAACUGGGAAUGACCACCUGCUGGGAAACCUUGGUAGAAGCUGGGGGUUCAGUUGUUGGAGAUUAUCUCCCCUGAAGCAUGUUCUGAGGUUAUACCGGGUUUGAGGGUUCGCCAGAGACAAAAAGGAUUCUGGUUGAGAUGGGAGGAAUAGCCCAGAGCUUUGGGGCACCCGUGUGCAUGUGUGUGCAUGCACACACCCCAUGUAUUAUACCAUGUAUGCAUGUGAAUGUGCAAUUGUGAAGUGUUCGCACUCAUGGAACCAGCUCCUCUGACCAAACUAUACUUGUGCUCUCUUUCUUGGAUGACAGUAAAAAUGUAUGAUCAUUUGUAGGGGGAAAAAAUCCGAAAACACAGCAAAGCACAAAGAAGAAAAUAAUCCCAUCACCAAAAAAAACCACUUAAGCAUUUUGUAUCUGGCACUCCCAUCUUUUCACUUGGCAUAUUGAGAGUUCUUUAUUCUGUUUUUCAAAAUCGG